RNAcentral lists this transfer RNA (66 nucleotides) under Gonopsis coccinea. Its description in RNAcentral is "tRNA-Pro". Lineage: Eukaryota; Metazoa; Arthropoda; Insecta; Hemiptera; Pentatomidae. The record is from RNAcentral.
CAGUAAAUAGUUUAUUAAAAAUUUUAAUUUUGGAGAUUAAAGAUGAGUUAAGUUACUCUUUACUGA